GGUUUCGUAGCUCAGUCGGUAGAGCAUCGCACUGAAAAUGCGAGUGUCGGUGGUUCAAUUCCGCCCGAAACCACCA
RNAcentral lists this transfer RNA (76 nucleotides) under Ureaplasma sp. Its description in RNAcentral is "tRNA-Phe". It matches the Rfam family "tRNA". Rfam says of the family: Transfer RNA (tRNA) molecules are approximately 80 nucleotides in length. Their secondary structure includes four short double-helical elements and three loops (D, anti-codon, and T loops). The record is from RNAcentral. Lineage: Bacteria; Bacillati; Mycoplasmatota; Mycoplasmoidales; Mycoplasmoidaceae.